GAUGAACGCUGGCGGCGUGCCUAAUACAUGCAAGUCGAGCGAACAGACGAGGAGCUUGCUCCUCUGACGUUAGCGGCGGACGGGUGAGUAACACGUGGAUAACCUACCUAUAAGACUGGGAUAACUUCGGGAAACCGGAGCUAAUACCGGAUAAUAUAUUGAACCGCAUGGUUCAAUAGUGAAAGACGGUUUUGCUGGCACUUAUAGAUGGAUCCGCGCCGCAUUAGCUAGUUGGUAAGGUAACGGCUUACCAAGGCAACGAUGCGUAGCCGACCUGAGAGGCUGAUCGGCCACACUGGAACUGAGACACGGUCCAGACUCCUACGGGAGGCAGCAGUAGGGAAUCUUCCGCAAUGGGCGAAAGCCUGACGGAGCAACGCCGCGUGAGUGAUGAAGGUCUUCGGAUCGUAAAACUCUGUUAUUAGGGAAGAACAAAUGUGUAAGUAACUAUGCACGUCUUGACGGUACCUAAUCAGAAAGCCACGGCUAACUACGUG
This 497-nucleotide ribosomal RNA is filed under the name uncultured bacterium. Its description in RNAcentral is "partial 16S ribosomal RNA". It matches the Rfam family "Bacterial small subunit ribosomal RNA", at positions 28 to 507 of the family's 1533-position model. The record is from RNAcentral.